Molecule: RNA transcript, 2420 nt
Organism: Athalia rosae (coleseed sawfly)
Lineage: Eukaryota; Metazoa; Arthropoda; Insecta; Hymenoptera; Athaliidae
Gene name: G-protein coupled receptor Mth2-like
Exons: 2
Source: RefSeq, a predicted model, not a curated record
UUCUUGACUAGUAAUAAACCUACCGACUUGGAGCACUCUUGGUCGAUGUGAAUCCUCGAGGACCGAGUGACCAAACUGACCAUAAAUUGACCGCGUGAAUCGAGUUAAAGACGAGAAUAAUUCAUUGUUUGUUAUGCACCGAAUCGGAAUUCGAUGGUGGUCGGUGAUGGAUCGAUCUGACGUCACGCGAGGAUACCCAAUCAAUCAAAGGAUAAGCGGAAUAAUCUGAUUACGGGAAGCGUCGCCGCAAACAACUACCCUGGAUUAUGGAGUCGAAUCUGAUCGAAAACUUUUCUAAUCGAUCCACCCGUUGGUCUGGCGUACUCCUUAGCCAUGAAUUAUUGAAAGGAUUGCUACCCAACCGCCUCUCUUUCCGAGAAUAUCAACACGAUACAGCUCAUGCCGCGUAGCUUAGCUCAAUCAAAAUCAUCGUUAUCCCUUGACGCGACGACCCUAAUUUAAUCGAUCACGAAUUUCCGUAUAUUUUCUUUUAACGUUAUUGCCGAUUCACGCAUGUUAUUUCCGGCGAUGAUUUAAUUGCUCCCGAGUAGUGAACGGAAAUAAAUAAACGUUAGAAAUAACCAGAAGUUCGGUAACUUACGACCUCCGGGAAACUUAAAAGCUGCAAAGACUUCGCGACGCUGAACCGAAUCGUCCUCCCAGUUUGAUUUCUACCUGUUGCACGGCAAUUAAUUUACCGCGCGUAAUGCCAACGUAAAUUAUUGAUCGACUCGAAUAAUAUAAGAUGUUCAUUGUUCCCGUGAGCUUGUCAACGGUCAUUGCAUAUGCGUGGGUGAAGUGAACAGAGAAGGAACAUCGAUCAGAAGUGUGAGAUUUUUAAAUCAUAUGCGUACGUUUCAAAGACGACACGUUCUCCCCAUCGCCGCACGACUCGGGAUCUUUUUAUUUUGGUUAGAUCUGCGAUGAAUUACAUGUGAAAAUGGUCUCCCGGGAAUAGAAUUAAUUUGCACUUUGUACCACGAGACCGUGGAGCGUGUCACACCCUAACGUAUUGAUAUUAAAAGAUACAGACGGACAAAACUCGGCAGCAUCCCCCAUCGCAAUACUAUUGCAACUAGAUACAAACUAUCCCAUCUAAUGUUCGGCGCCCCCAUGAAGCGCGUACCCUUGUAGCGGUCGGAGUAAUGAAAUCAUAAUUCCAUUUGGGGUGACAAAAGUCAGGAGGAAUCGGGAAUAUCCGUAGAACAAGUGAUAUCGAUAUGUCCUCGGUUCGACACACCAGUCGGUGUAUUAUAGGGAUAAAAUUCGGCCGUAUGAAAUCUCUGCAAAAGGAAGUAAUUCGACCUUAAAGUGAUGGGGUGAAUUCCACACGAAUACUUUGCGCCACUGCUCCGAAUGAGUGCUCGUUUUUGCGAUGCCUAUUCCCGACUCGUUUUCAUGUAUGCCGAGAAAUAAAGCGAUUAGGGAUUUUCCGAAGGAUUUUCAAAAGGCACGAGUGUAUCAAGUGGGGUUUGCCUCAGCUUGUUCAAUUUUGCGGCCUAUAGAAAGUGGGUAUAAAAUAAACGCCGUAUAGGGAAUAAGACUCGCGGGCGCGUGCGAAACCUAUUCAAAAACGGACCAUUCGAUACUGGACUAACCAUAACUUUGGUUUUAUGGUAAAUUUAGCCGUGAAGCUACGCGAGUAAGAGGGGGCCGAUAAGGUCCCGCGGGACUUUUAGGUCAUUUCUAUGAAUUUGUAUUUAUUACUUCGGCUACAAAAUCUAUAAAAUUUACAAAAUAUACACAAAAUACGAAAGCUUCAUUUACAUAAAUAUUUUCCGCAACCCUCCCAUGAUACGUCGUUUACUCGCGUCAGGAUAAUAUAUCCAGGUAUCGUAUAAUAAAUAGUAAACUGCUAUUCGGCCCUACGAUACAAUCCUUGCAAUAUUUAGCAGCACAGUUACUCGUUAAAAAUGCGUCACAUUAUAUUAUAUAGAUCUUUUUUUUUUUUUUUUCAGUGGAAACAAACUCACGAGAAAUUAUCGUUGCACAUUUAUAAGAGAUUCUUGAUCGCAAAUGUGUCUGUAAUGUGGGUUUUUGUAAAAAAUUCUAAAAUGGAUGUAAAACGGUUCACUUUUUCGAACUCUUGCGAACGGCGUCGUUCGCAUACUAAUAUGCAUGUGGCAAAAAAAUUAAGACAUUUCGUUGCACGCAAGGCGAACGAUGAAGUUAUUUCUUAGCAAUUUCCAUCAAUCACUGGAAGGCAAAAUGAAAAAGAAAGGAAAUAAAUAAAAUAAAGAAACAAGGAGGAGAAAAGAGACUAUGUCAGCUUCAUUAAAUAUACGAAGCAAAGAGUAAAUUCUUUGCAAGUUGGUGCCUGUAAAGAGAUUACGAAAAGCAAUAUAAGGGAAGUAUCUUUCGUUAUUAAUUGAAUUCGCUGAAAUAAUUAGUGGGGUUUGAGGGUGGCGGUGGUGCCUUGA